AUUGAACGCUGGCGGCAGGCCUAACACAUGCAAGUCGAAUGGUAACAGGAAACAGCUUGCUGUUUCGCUGACGAGUGGCGGACGGGUGAGUAAUGUCUGGGAAACUGCCUGAUGGAGGGGGAUAACUACUGGAAACGGUAGCUAAUACCGCAUAACGUCGCAAGACCAAAGAGGGGGACCUUCGGGCCUCUUGCCAUCAGAUGUGCCCAGAUGGGAUUAGCUAGUAGGUGGGGUAACGGCUCACCUAGGCGACGAUCCCUAGCUGGUCUGAGAGGAUGACCAGCCACACUGGAACUGAGACACGGUCCAGACUCCUACGGGAGGCAGCAGUGGGGAAUAUUGCACAAUGGGCGCAGGCCUGAUGCAGCCAUGCCGAGUGUAUGAAGAAGGCCUUCGGGUUGUAAAGUACUUUCAGCGGGGAGGAAGGGAGUAAAGUUAAUACCUUUGCUCAUUGACGUUACCCGCAGAAGAAGCACCGGCUAACUCCGUG
Molecule: ribosomal RNA, 490 nt
Filed under: uncultured bacterium
Lineage: Bacteria
Description: partial 16S ribosomal RNA
Rfam family: Bacterial small subunit ribosomal RNA
Source: RNAcentral